Molecule: ribosomal RNA, 253 nt
Filed under: uncultured bacterium
Lineage: Bacteria
Description: partial 16S ribosomal RNA
Rfam family: Bacterial small subunit ribosomal RNA
Source: RNAcentral
GACGGAGGGUGCAAGCGUUGUUCGGAAUUACUGGGCGUAAAGGGCGCGUAGGCGGUCUGUUAAGUUCGGUGUGAAAGCCCUCGGCUUACCCGGGGAACUGCGCCGGAAACCGACAGACUCGAGUACCGGAGAGGAGGGUGGAAUUCCUGGUGUAGCGGUGAAAUGCGCAGAUAUCAGGAGGAACACCGGUGGCGAAGGCGGCUUGCUGGGCCAGUUCUGACGCUGAGGAGCGAAAGCGUGGGGAGCGAACAGG